UACGUAGGGUGCAAGCGUUGUCCGGAAUUAUUGGGCGUAAAGAGCUCGUAGGCGGUCUGUCGCGUCGGCUGUGAAAUCCCGAGGCUCAACCUCGGGUCUGCAGUCGAUACGAGCAAACUAGAGUGUUGCAGGGGAGACUGGAAUUCCUGGUGUAGCGGUGAAAUGCGCAGAUAUCAGGAGGAACACCCGUGGCGAAGGCGGUUCUCUGGGACGGUACUGACGCUGAGACGCGAAAGCGUGGGGAGCGAACAGG
This 253-nucleotide ribosomal RNA is filed under the name uncultured bacterium. Its description in RNAcentral is "partial 16S ribosomal RNA". It matches the Rfam family "Bacterial small subunit ribosomal RNA", at positions 524 to 776 of the family's 1533-position model. The record is from RNAcentral.